RNAcentral lists this ribosomal RNA (455 nucleotides) under uncultured bacterium. Its description in RNAcentral is "bacterial SSU rRNA". It matches the Rfam family "Bacterial small subunit ribosomal RNA", at positions 340 to 786 of the family's 1533-position model. The record is from RNAcentral.
UACGGAAGGCAGCAGUGGGGAAUAUUGCACAAUGGGCGAAAGCCUGAUGCAGCUAUGCCGCGUGUAUGAAGAAGGCCUUAGGGUUGUAAAGUACUUUCAUCGGGGAGGAAAAACAAAACUAAUAAUUUUAUUUCUUGACGUUACCCGAAAAAGAAGCACCGGCUAACUCCGUGCCAGCAGCCGCGGUAAUACGGAGGGUGCGAGCGUUAAUCGGAAUUACUGGGCGUAAAGGGCACGCAGGCGGUUAAUUAAGUUGGAUGUGAAAUCCCCGGGCUUAACCUGGGAAUGGCAUUCAAGACUGGUUAGCUAGAGUCUUGUAGAGGGGGGUUAGAAUUCCAUGUGUAGCGGUGAAAUGCGUAGAGAUGUGGAGGAAUACCGGUGGCGAAGGCGGCCCCUGGACAAAGACUGACGCUCAUGUGCGAAAGGCGUGGGGAGCGAAACAGGGAUUAGAUACC